AGUGAACGCUGGCGGUAUGCCUAACACAUGCAAGUCGAACGGCAGCACAGUAAGAGCUUGCUCUUACGGGUGGCGAGUGGCGGACGGGUGAGGAAUACAUCGGAAUCUACUUUUUCGUGGGUGAUAACGUAGGGAAACUUACGCUAAUACCGCAUACUACCUACGGGUGAAAGUAGGGGAUCUUCGGACCUUGCGCGAUUGAAUUAGCCGAUGUCGGAUUAGCUAGUUGGCGAGGUAAAGUCCCACCAAGGCGACGAUCCGUAGCUGGUCUGAGAGGAUGAUCAGCCACACUGGAACUGAGACACGGUCCAGACUCCUACGGGAGGCAGCAGUGGGGAAUAUUGGACAAUGGGCGCAAGCCUGAUCCAGCCAUACCGCGUGGGUGAAGAAGGCCUUCGGGUUGUAAAGCCCUUUUGUUGGGAAAGAAAAGCAGCAGGUUAAUACCUCGCUGUUCUGACGGUACCCAAAGAAUAAGCACCGGCUAACUUCGUG
Molecule: ribosomal RNA, 492 nt
Filed under: uncultured bacterium
Lineage: Bacteria
Description: partial 16S ribosomal RNA
Rfam family: Bacterial small subunit ribosomal RNA
Source: RNAcentral